This 23-nucleotide non-coding RNA is filed under the name Arabidopsis thaliana (thale cress). Lineage: Eukaryota; Viridiplantae; Streptophyta; Magnoliopsida; Brassicales; Brassicaceae. The record is from RNAcentral.
UCCCGGGAAGUCCUCGUGUUGCA